This 440-nucleotide ribosomal RNA is filed under the name uncultured bacterium. RNAcentral's name for it is "partial 16S ribosomal RNA". It matches the Rfam family "Bacterial small subunit ribosomal RNA", at positions 338 to 795 of the family's 1533-position model. The record is from RNAcentral.
CCUACGGGUGGCAGCAGUGGGGAAUAUUGCACAAUGGGGGAAACCCUGAUGCAGCGACGCCGCGUGAGUGAGGAAGUAUUUCGGUAUGUAAAGCUCUAUCAGCAGGGAAGAAAAUGACGGUACCUGACUAAGAAGCCCCGGCUAACUACGUGCCAGCAGCCGCGGUAAUACGUAGGGGGCAAGCGUUAUCCGGAUGUACUGAGUGGAAAGGGAGCGUAGACGGUUAAUCAAGUCAGAAGUGAAAACCCAGGGCUCAACCUUGGGACUGCUUUUGAAACUGAGUAGCUGGAGUGCAGGAGAGGUAAGCGGAAUUCCUGGUGUAGCGGUGAAAUGCGUAGAUAUUAGGAGGAACACCAGUGGCGAAGGCGGCUUACUGGACUGUAACUGACGUUGAGGCUCGAAAGCGUGGGGAGCAAACAGGAUUAGAUACCCGAGUAGUC